Molecule: ribosomal RNA, 506 nt
Filed under: uncultured Acaulospora
Lineage: Eukaryota; Fungi; Glomeromycota; Glomeromycetes; Diversisporales; Acaulosporaceae
Description: SSU rRNA
Rfam family: Eukaryotic small subunit ribosomal RNA
Source: RNAcentral
AGCAGCCGCGGUAAUUCCAGCUCCAAUAGCGUAUAUUAAAGUUGUUGCAGUUAAAAAGCUCGUAGUUGAAUUUCGGGGUCUGUCCGUCGGUCGGGCUUCACAGUCCGUACUGGUGUGAUGGGUUCCUACCUUCUGAAUAACCGGCAUGCCAUUCAGUUGGUGCGCCGGGGAAGCAGAGCUAUUACCUUGAAAAAAUUAGAGCGCUUAAAGCAGGCUAGUGCUUGAAUAGAUUAGCAUGAAAUAAUAAAAUAGGACGGCAUGGUUCUAUUUUGUUGGUUUCUAGGAUCACCGUAAUGAUUAAUAGGGAUAGUUGGGGGCAUUAGUAUUCAAUUGUCAGAGGUGAAAUUCUUGGAUUUAUUGAAGACUAACUUCUGCGAAAGCAUUUGUCCAAGGAUGUUUUCAUUAAUCAAGAACGAAAGUUAGGGGAUCGAAGACGAUCAGAUACCGUCGUAGUCUUAAACCNUAAACUAUGCCGACUAGGGAUCGGACGAUGUAAUUUUUAAUGA